This 3582-nucleotide ribosomal RNA is filed under the name Candidatus Nomurabacteria bacterium. Its description in RNAcentral is "23S ribosomal RNA". It matches the Rfam family "Bacterial large subunit ribosomal RNA". Lineage: Bacteria; Candidatus Nomuraibacteriota. The record is from RNAcentral.
UAAUAGGAAAUUAAGAGCAUAUGGUGGAUGCCUUGACUCUACAUGGCGAUGAAGGACGUAGCAUGGCUGCGAUAAGCUUCGGGGAGGUGCCUAGCAACCGAUAUAUCCGAAGAUCUCCGAAUGGGGAAACCCUAUUGAGUAAACCUCAAUAACUUUUUGAUUAAUCAAAAAGAGUAUACCCAGGGAAGUGAAACAUCUCAGUACCUGGAGGAAAAGAAAACAAAGUCCGUAAGGACAAAAUUUCCGAAGUAGCGGCGAGCGAAAUGGAAAGAGCCCAAACCGAAUGAUAAUGUCGCAAGAUAUUAUUAAUCGGGGUUGUAAGGUGAUAACGACGUUUUAUUACGUAAAGAGUUACAAAAUGUAUUGAUAGUAGAAGUUGUUGGAAAGCAACGCCAAAGACGGUGAUAGCCCGGUACACGAAAUUAAUAUAUCUCUUUUGUUGUCAUUCUUGAGUACCUCAAGACACGAAUAGCUUGAGGGAAUCCGCCGGAACUAACCGGCAAGGCUAAAUACAUGUAGAGAUCGAUAGUGAACUAGUACCGUGAGGGAAAGGUGAAAAGUAGUCCGAAAGGACAGUGAAAUAGACCUGAAACCAUAUGUUUACAAAGAGUCAGAGCGGGCCUUCGGGUCCGCCAUGGCGUGCCUAUUGAAGAAUGAGCCAACGAGUUUAUGUAUGCUGCUUAGCUAAAGUUUUAAAAGACUGGAGCUGCAGGGAAACCAAGUGUUAAUAGCGCGUAAUUGGUAGUAUACAUAAGACCCGAAGCCAGGUGAGCUACCCAUGAGCAGGGUGAAGGUGUGAGAAAUCACACUGGAGGCCCGAACCGGUGAGCCGUUUAACACUCUCGGAUGACUUGUGGGUUGGAGUGAAAAGCUAAUCGAACCUGGUAAUAGCUGGUUCUCUCCGAAAUAGCUUUAGGGCUAGCGUUGUGCGUUCCUCUUGGGGGUAGAGCACUGGAAGAUUUCGACAGGGAGCAAUCUCGCGACAUCUAUCAAACUCCGAAUACCAAGAGUUAAAAGCGCAGCAGUUAGACUACGGGGGCGAAGCUCCGUCAGUAAAAAGGGAAACAGCCCAGAUCUCUAAUUAAGGUCCCUAAAUCAAUGUUAAGUGCAAACCAAGGAUGUGGAAUUUCUUCGACAAUGAGGAUGUUGGCUUAGAAGCAGCCAUCAUUUAAAGAAAGCGUAACAGCUCACUCAUCAAGAGAUUCCGCGCCGCAGAUAAUCGGGGCUAAGCAUUGUACCGAAUUUGAGGAUUUCAUAUUUCUGAGGAAAUAUGGAGUGGUAGGAGAGUAUUCGACUCUGCGUUGAAGGCAAAGGGGUGACCCAUGCUGGAGCGUGUCGAAGUAAGAAUGUUGGCACAAGUAACCGCAAUGCAGGUGAGAUCCCUGCACGUCGAAAGAUCAAGGUUUCCUUGGCGAUGUUGAUCAGCCAAGGGUUAGUCGGUCCUAAGCAGAUGGCGAUAGCCGAACGUGAUGGACACAUGGUUAAUAUUCCAUGACUUCUUUUCUGUGCGAUGGAAGGACGGAGGGUAGUAUGUAGAGCAGAUUAUUGGAUUUCUGUUUGUGCUAUGAGGGUGGUUUCUAGGCAAAUCCGGAAACUGGCGUAAAAGCGACAUCCAAGUAGAGCAUAAAUAUGUGGGUUCGCCCAUGUAAAUUUUACAAAGCACGCUUCCAAGAAAAAUUUCUAAGCAUAACAGAACAGAAACCGUACCGCAAACCAACACAGGUGAUCGGGUCGAGAAGACCAAGACGAACGAGUGAGUGUUCCCCAAGGAACUCGGCAAAAAAGCAGCCGUAACUUCGGAAUAAGGCUUCCCCCCAUAAUGGUGACUUCAGUAUUUAUAUUGUAGUUCACCAUUAUGGGGGGCGCAGCGAAAGUAUCUCUGGCAACUGUUUACCAAAAACACAGCUCCCUGCGAACUCGUAAGAGGAUGUAUAGGGGGUGACACCUGACCAAUGCGAGAAGGUCAAAUAUCGGCGGUUUCUCUCUGCCUUCGGGUAGGGAGAAGCUGACUGAUAUAAGCCCUGGUGAAUGUCGGCCGUAACUAUAACGGUCCUAAGGUUUCGCAUAUGACUUCGGUUGUAUGUGAAAGGACUGGGACUGUUGUAGAAAAAGGUAAACAAUUAAAUUAAAAAAUUAUUAAAUCAUUCGAAAGCUACCUACAUGUCAGUAAUGAUAUGUGGUCCAAACUUGACUAACGAGAGACCAGCGUCAAGCAUCCCACCUCGAAAGAGAGGAUGAAGAUAGAGUCCUUCUUAGGUAUAGAAGAGCGAAAUACCUUGUCGGGUAAGUUCCGACGCGCACGAAUGGUGUAAUGACUGGAGAACUGUCUCGGGGAAUAGCUCGGUGAAAAUACAAUACCGGUGAAGAUGCCGGUUAAGCGCAGAUAGACGAAAAGACCCCGGAAGCUUUACUACAACUUGAUAUUGAAUAUACGUUUUACCUGCGUAGCAUAGAUGGGAGAGGUUAUGUGCACGGUCUCGGCUGUGUAAUACUCGUCAGUGAAAUACCAUUCUUGUGACAUGUAUAUUCUAAUCCCUGUGGCAAAAACACAGAGAGACAGUAUCUGGUGGGUAGUUUUACUGGGGCGGUAUCCUCCUAAAGAGUAACGGAGGAGUUUAUUAAGGUCAGCUAGGCGCGUAUGGAAAUCGUGCCGAUAGUGUAAGGGCACAAGCUGGCUUGACUGUAAGAGGGACAUCUCGAGCAGGUGCGAAAGCAGAACCUAGUGAACCGAUGGUACGCAUUAGAUGCGGCCGAAGAUUAACGGAUAGAAGCUACUCCGGGGAUAACAGGCUAGUUCCGCCUAAGAGUUCAUAUCGACGGCGGAGUUCGGCACCUUAACAUAUCGGGGUGCCAUGAUAGAGAUAUUAUUAGCCGUCUUUUAUAUUUGUUGUAGAUAGCAAAAUAAAAGAUACAAAAAAUUGGCCAAAUGCUGGAACUCUCUUUUAAAUGCAUAUACCCAAACAGCAAUUCGAAAGAAUAUACUGAGUGGUUUUAAAAAAUUAUGCAUGUUGAGACAAUCAGCAGGAAAGACUUCUAAAUCUUUUUUACAAAAGACAUGAAGAAUCCUCAGAGACUAAACGCCAAUCUCCUAAUCAUAUUUAUAUGAAAGGAUGAAGAUAUAGUCCGAUCCUUCUGGUGACAGAAGACUCUCAAGAAAGAUUGAAAAGUUUUUUAUUUUUCUUGAGAUAAAUCGACAGCGAUGUCGGCUCACCUUAUCCUGGCGGUGGAGAAGCUGCCAAGGGUUUAGCUGUUCGCUAAUUAAAAAGGUACGCGAGCUGGGUUCAAACCGUCGUGAGACAGGUUGGUCUCCUAUCUACUGCGCUCGUUGAUUCUUGAAGGGCGCUGCUCCUAGUACGAGAGGACCGGAGUGGACUGACCUCUGGUGUACGAGCUCUAUUACCAAAUGGACUGCUCGGUAGCUAUGUCGGGAAGGGAUAACUUCUGAAAGCAUCUAAGAAGGAAGCCCCCCCUAAGAUAAGGAAUCGUUUGAGAACCGUGAGAGAUGAUCACGUUGAUAGGCUUUAGGUGUACGCACAGUAAUGUGUUGAGCCGAGAAGUACUAAUUAUUCGAUUCCUAUUAGG